AGGUCUGGCAGAACUGAUGAUGAGAGUCUGACGGAGCACGCCGCGUGAGUGAUGAAGGCUUUCGGGUCGUAAAACUCUGUUGUUAGGGAAGAACAAGUACGAGAGUAACUGCUCGUACCUUGACGGUACCUAACCAGAAAGCCACGGCUAACUACGUGCCAGCAGCCGCGGUAAUACGUAGGUGGCAAGCGUUAUCCGGAAUUAUUGGGCGUAAAGCGCGCGCAGGCGGUUUCUUAAGUCUGAUGUGAAAGCCCACGGCUCAACCGUGGAGGGUCAUUGGAAACUGGGGAACUUGAGUGCAGAAGAGAAAAGCGGAAUUCCACGUGUAGCGGUGAAAUGCGUAGAGAUGGGAGGAACACCAGUGGCGAAGGCGGCUUUUUGGUCUGUAACUGACGCUGAGGCGCGAAAGCGUGGGGAGCAAACAGGAUUAGAUACCCCGGUAGUCAUUU
RNAcentral lists this ribosomal RNA (449 nucleotides) under Bacillus sp. (in: firmicutes). Its description in RNAcentral is "bacterial SSU rRNA". It matches the Rfam family "Bacterial small subunit ribosomal RNA", at positions 359 to 799 of the family's 1533-position model. Lineage: Bacteria; Bacillati; Bacillota; Bacilli; Caryophanales; Bacillaceae. The record is from RNAcentral.